CUAAGCUGAUCAUAAAUCCCAUACUUUAUCACAGACUUACGACAGUCAUACUGCUAAGGUGAUCGUAAAUCCCAUACUUAAACACAGACUUACGACAGUCGUAGCGCUACGAUAGCUUUGUGGAACUGCCACUGUUGUAACUGUGUCACAGUCAUUUUAACAGCAAGGUUUUGAUUCUCAGAAGAUUUUCAAAUGAAUUCUAUUAAUUGCUUUUGUAAAGCGAAUGUAUUUAUUGUUACGUGAUGAAAGGAUGGAGACAGGAGACCAGAUUAGAUGUUGCUGUGACAUGGUGACAAUGUAGCAGCAUUCACCUGAACAUUAUGUAACCACAUGUGCACAUGUCUUUGUUCCGGCUUACCUGGGAACGGACAAAGGUCAUCUUCAGAUCAUUUCCUAGAUGUGACAGUCAUGUUUUAUCCGACCAAGCUUAACACUGCAGAAUGGUUGGAAAGAAUUCCUCAAUUGUAAGAUUUAGGUAUUAUUCAAUAUCCUUUAUGAUGAUACUAAAUUUUAUUUAUGUAGCUUUUGGACUUACUAUAGAGGUGAUUAAUAUUGGUGUAGUUGAAGCUCCUAUGUCAGUAUUUGCUGGCUUGCCUGAGAUCAUAAUGCUCGUAGAUGUUUAUUCUAGUCUGUCAUGUUGAAAAUUGCCUCAAAGUUCCUACACAAGAUCCCAGGCCAAGCACUGCAGCAUGUCCUGGUACCUUGUGCUGUCAACCAUGGUUACCGGUAUUUCAAGAUGGUGCCAAUCUUGAUGGUAGCUUUUGAUCCCAACGAAAUCUUUCAAAUUGCAUUUUCUUCUUCAUAUACUUGUCUUUUUACUGUGUCUGAAAACUCUGCCUGUCUCAGUGUCUGUCUUGUCCCAUCAUCAGUACUCCAAGGGUGUAUGCACUAUGUCCAAGGGUGUAUGCACUACGUUCCUACAUCACCCGUGAAUACAUACAACAGAUAAGCAGUGCAUGUCAUGCAUGUCUGUUUUAGAUAAUGAUGACUCGCCGAUGUCAAACCAUCACAUGACAUUCAAGCAGUGUGUUAAGUACAGUCUUUAAGUCUAUGGGGGCGGUCGGGUAGCCUUGUGGUUAAAGCGUUCGCCCGUCACGCUGAAGACCCGGGUUCGAUUCCCGACACAGGUACAAUGUGUGAAGCCCAUUUCUGGUGUCCCCCGCCGUGAUAUUGCUGGAAUAUUGCUUAAAGCGGCAUAAAACCAAACUCACUCACACUCACUGUAAGUCUAUGCCACUUUUUGCACAAGAUGUAUUGUCGGUGUAAUCUGAACACUCAUAGGACCAAGCACUCGAUAGCUGUAUCCUAAGGGGGUUCCAGGGGGUCCAGACUCCCCCAUUUUGAAAACCAAAUGUAGCAUGUUGUAGGCAGUAGAGUUGUCUGAGAGAGGAUUUUGAUAUUUUGGACCCAUCCUUUUAAAAUGCUGGAUCCGCCCUUGCUCUCAUUCAUUCCCUCUUGCGGGAACCAAGCUGCGGUUGGAUUCUUUGGUUAAAAAUAUUGACUACACUGUUAAGCGGCAGUAUGUUUUCACUGGUGAUGAAGGAACCUGUGUAUUGACGAUGGGAUGAUGGAGGAACGUGGUGUAUUCAAACCUGUGUACUGGUGAUGGUCUUGUCUUUAAGGUGAUAAACAUCUGCGGUACUUAAUGGCCAUCUCAAAAGUUCACCGUAAACCGCUAGAUUGAACAGAUUAACUGGUAGCCCAGCAAGAUCAGUGCCGUGUGAGACAGGUGAUGCUGUGACACUUCUACAAUAUGUAUUUUUGUUUGUGAACUAAACAGGGUGGUUGGGUUGCUAAGAUACACAUGUAUUUGAUAAUCAUGGAAUCAUGUAUCCUUGAGAAAAUAAUACUGUGUGUAGAAAGAUUAAGGACAUUGAGUCUGGCGUUAGACUUCAAACUAUUGCAACAAUCAAAAAACUGUUAAAACAAAACAAGUCAAAGAUUCUAAAAAUUGUAUUUUUAAUACUGUCUCAGGAACUAUUCAUUUGAAGAUUAUAUAUCACCGUGUUGUGGGUUUUUGGGUGCUUAAGAAACAGUCCUAGUUUUCUCGCUAAUCACAUGAACAACUGUAAAAUAUCUCAUUUGCUCAUAAAAGAUAACUUUCUCUUAAAAACAAGCCAUCAUCUGAGUAUUUGCAAUUUCUGUGUGAUGCUACACCCCCUGUUAUAGCGUGAGUAAUCGUGAUAAACAUGGGUGAUGUCCGAAAACCUAUGAUCUGACGAUAUUCUAUUUUAAAAGUCCUUGCAAAAGGAAACUUGACACAACAAGCUGCAGUGAACUAGAAACAGGGUGUGUAUGACAAUGGUGCAAUCUAUGUUCAGCAUUACAUGAUAUUACUUGUUGAGGUUGCUGGGUAUAAAAUUACGACUAACUAACAGUGGUGCAGAGUAAUCAGGAUGGACAACUUCCUGAUCGGCAAGUGGGAUAGAGUCCGCCAUUGAUAACACCUGUCCCCAGCCAGUGGGAACUUCCUGUUCUUGUUUCCCUAACUUUGUUAUGGGGCAUUUCCACACCGAGAUCGAAGAAUAAGAAGAAGUGUAUAGUGUGAGAUAGGAUAAGUAUAUAAAUAUACAAUUUAUUAGAAAAUUUACAAAUUCAAGAUUUCCCAAUUCAUGUUAAUAUACUCACCACUACGUGAACCAUUGAAACAUAGAGAAGUAUGUACGCUAGGAAGAGACAAGGUGACUUGUAUUCUGGUAACAAGCCCAAUAAGGAGGAAGAGGCUAAAAUUCUUUCUAUUACAUUAUUUAACUGAAUGCAAUGUUAGAUAUCGUUGAGCUUAAGUAAAUAAGAACUUUGAAAAAGAUCCUAAUUUUGAACAUCAUAAUGAUUAUUUUCCCUAUUUGAGUGCCAUGGACACAUGGAAUCCUAGAUAAAUCCCUGUGGUGGACACUGAGCUAAAUCCAGCUUUCAAGAUUCAAUACUGAUUAGUUUUUAGUAAGACUACUAAAUUUUUUACAAGACAAAUAAAGUCCUAACUGCUAUAUCCUGGGGUAGACACCAUUGGCCCUAUUCAACUAGUCUGCAGAUCAUUUCUAGACUUUCACUCCUCUCAGACUAGCAGAGUAGUGGCCUUGUCUAUCCCUGAUGUCAAACCCUGUACUUUGCAACAAUCUUUUAGCAUUUUAGGUAUGUAGCAUUAUUUUAAUAUCUAUAUACUUAAACCAUUGUGUUAGCCCUUAUCCAGUGAUUUGAAUGUAAACCUGUAUCAAUAGUCUAUUGUCACUUGUGGUAUGUGACCAUCGUUAUUUGCAGGUAUGUACAAAAGGGAAGUAACUCUUCAUGUUCUGUACAGUGGGAUUGUGGGUACAAUUUGACCUUUUUAUGGUCAGGGUCAUGUGUGAUGCAUAUUUUGAUAAUUCAAUGAAAUAAUGUACUCUUUAAAAGACAUUUUCUCUGAAAGGAUAAACUUUUUGUAAUUGAGUAUGAUUCAGACUGCAUUUACCAUGUAUGAAAUGUGAAAAGGGUGUAGAAUCUACUACAGAUCGGAGAGACCCUGUUUGGAGCUUAGAGCAGGAGUACAAUAUCCUGUGUUAUGUUCAUCACAAUUGUAUCGAAUAUCAUGUCUUGUACAGAUUUUCUGUGAAGGGUUUGAAUCCAGAUCCUUUAAUAUUUGUUGAAAUAUGUAUAUAUUAGUAUCAUUAUUAACUUAAACAGCACUGUAAACAGUAUCACAGAUUAACAGAUUUUGUGUUUAUGUCAAUUGCCUGUUACCAUGGCAACCCAGGCAAGAUAUAUAUGUAUCAUAUAUAUUUCAUCUUUGUGUAUUGUGUUAUACAGCUGUUCUGAAUGUCUCGAGUGCUAGACGUGUACAAACAUAUUAUUCAAGGAUGCGUGGAAGAUUAUUGUAUACACAUUAAUGCAAGUUUUGAAUAUACUUUGAUCACUGUCUUUUUAACCCAGCAGUGUUGCUUGCCGGGGUGUGCUGAUUUGUGUCAUGUGCAAUCACUUCUAACAAACUCGGUGGACGUCCUCCACAACAGAAUGGGUUGCUGCAGACAGAAUCUACCACUCUGUCAGCACCAUGCAACUACAGCUGAUGGUGUCACUCUCUAUCGGUGUACCAUCAAAAUGUACCCUUGUUACAAAAUAAUAUAUCUAUUUGUAACCAGAUUUUUGUGCUGUAUCGUUUUGUACCCAGACCAUAUUUAAGUGUGUCCCAUUUGGGAAAUCCCACGAUGCAUUUGGGAAAUGUAUUGCAGGCAAUAGACUAACAUCUAGUCUCUGAAAUGAACUAUUUAUAGAAGAAAAAACAGUUAUUAAAUUAUGGUUUUGAAAUAUAAUAAAAAGGAGCCCAGAGACUUUCUUCAUUUUCAGAUACUGCAGUAAUCUAGGCUUGCCUAAUAUUAUAGACUUGCAUGGGAUGUAUUGGAUAAAUUGUUUCAGGGUCUGUAUAACAGACUAUAAGGGGAGGGAAGAGACAGACUUUCAUUGAAAUAAUUUUUGAUAUAAACAAAAUGCAAAUGUUUUUAAAUGUAUUUUAUAUCAAGAGCUAGGCCCAGCAAUAUUUUAUCAGUUUAUAGAACACAGUUCUCUAUCUAUACUGUAGUGCAGUUCGUUGACACAGUCUAUUUAUUGAAGCUCCUCAGUUUAUUUCGUUGAGAAGCUAUUGUUGAUACAUUUAUAACAUAGAAUAUCGGGAGAUUUCCAAAAUCGUGGUACACUUGCUGUGGUUGGGUACAAAACAAUACGGCAACCAAAAUCUGGGUUCAACUCAAUAUAUAUUUUUGUACCAAGGGUACAUUUGAUAGUAAACAGAUCGAGAGUGACCCUAGCAGCGCAACUAAGGUGGAUAUCAAGUUUGGACAACACAUGAAGGCCCUUUUCAACAAGCUGAUUUAAGGGAUGCAACUGUUGUAAACUGACAUCUUACAACAGUGUUAGUGCUGAGUUGGUUUGUAGAACAUGGCCCCGAUUGUUGUGGUCGGUGGUCGGUGGUUGGCAUGUUCUGCUGGGUAAGCCUGUAUAUAUGCAUGCUGAUACAUUACAGUGUGAGGAGAUGAGACCUCUUAAAUUUUGGAAAUAUUUUCGUUCUGUGAGUGCUAAUCUCUGACUACAGAUUUUGAUGACACAUGUUUCAUUUCUUAUUAUUUAGAAAGAAUUACACCUAUAGUUUUGAAAAUUGAUUUGACAAGUCAAAUACUUAAGAUUGUAUGGAUAAAACAGCUUUACAUAAAACUUUUCUAUAUAUGCAAACUUCUUUAUUCUGCCGUUCCCUGUGUGUGCACAUGAUGCCUGGCACUUGACAGUGUCACUGCACACUGUAUGCUAUGUGCAAUGGUCAGCUAGGUAGCCUGUGAUAUUUGUAACAGAUAUAUCUAUAUACACAUACCCUCAUACACCAGUAUUGAGAUCAUCAACGCUCACAUGGCAACACUUAGUGCAGUUAUUGAAAACAGAAUGGGUAAGAGAGUGAGAUCCUAGCUUCUUUGAGAGGCAUUUAGAAGUUGGAGUACUAAGUAUGAAUAAUUACAAUUAGGAGGGACGUUUCGGUGUAGGCUCUAACACCCUUAUCAAGCAAGUGAUGUACAGAGUAUGGUUGAAUGAGUGAGAUCCUUUUUUUUUCUGAGAACAAGACCUACCAGUAAGUGUCGUUAAGGUACAAUGUUUAUGAAAAACGGUAUCAGCAGGUGUUUCGACUGCCAUUCUAGUAAUUCUUGAAACUGUUUUCACAUCUUGGUUGUGUUGUUCAUUGACUCUUCUGAUGUCGGAGUUUCUGGAUCUCCUCUGCAGUAGGUUAUGCUUGAGAGAAUGAUGAUGUAAUAUUGAUUUGAUAUAAGGUCACACAUCCAGCCUUGUCACUGGCAUACUCAGAGAAAGGUUUCAGGGAUAUAGAACCCUGUCCAAGACCCUGGACAGUCAAAGCAUGGCUGACGUAUCUUCAUACCUCGAACAUAUUGUCAUUUUUUUACUUCUUUUGCAUCAAAAUAGUGAACUAGGCUUAGACGAAGAGUUGGGUGUUAUACAUGUAUAACCAAGUUUUAUGUACCAAAUGUUGCAACGUUUGUAUGCAUAUACUGGUAUCUUGUAUUUCAGUCCUUCUUCACCAGUUGAAUACAGGCUCUGUUAGUUACUGUUGAAUGUGCCUGGGACACAGGUGACCCUUUGGUUUUAGGUGCUGAAAUUUGUUGAGAAGAGUUGUGUCCCUUAGCCAGGCGGCGGGUUUCUUGUUUGAAUUCCAAAAUAUGAUUCAUAGUCUGACAGCACCAUGGCCAUGCUCGUGGCGUUCACGCAAGUGGUUGUAUCUGCUUUACUUCAGGCUUUUUUCAUGCAGUAAGCUGUUCUAAGCGGCUUGGUUCCACUCUUAUUUCAGGUCUGAUGAGACAUUAAUGUUUUCACGGGGACCAUUUAUGUUAGGGUUGGCAUUUAUGUAGAGUCCAAUAACGUAGUUCAGAUAGUUAGCCAGUUUUGAAGAAAGUUGUUUGCAUAGUCACAUACAGAAAGCUUUGAUAUGCUAGAAAUUAUUGCAAACAUUUGCUCAUCACGCUGAAGCUCCAGGUAUGAUUUUCCAUGUGGGUACAAAAUGUGAAACCCAGUCUUAGUGUCCCCGGCCUGUUGAUUUAAUAUUGUGGCAUUACUCUACUCAGUCCCUACCAAGUCUGACUGUAGAUUCUUGCUGCUUCUUUCCCUCCCUGCUCAAUAUAGGCUUAGCUUGCUUACCUAGUCGCUGAUGCUGCUCAUGUACAUAUAGCAAAGAACAGCUAGUUGGGGUCCUGUUUUUAUGCACUUGUUAAAAUUACAUACUUUCUGAAAUCUGAUUUUUGAUUUUAAGGGUAUUUUUAAAUUAAUCUGUAUGAAGUACUCAAUAUUUUACGGCUAGAAGGUCUCUUCUGCAUCUUUUGCAAUUUAUGUGGAGAAAAUUGCCAAAUGUAACAAGCGACUUGUACAUACGCUUUGAAAGACGAGGAUGUCAAAUGGCUUAGCUCAAUCAAAUCAAAAGAUUAUUAUUCUGAAUGAAGGCAUUUUCCUAUCUUUGUUUCAAAUGAAAGCAGCUUUCAUAGGGGACAGGAGGCAGAUUUGUGUUUUGGAAAGUUUAUACAAGGAUGUUUGUUAGUUAAGAACUGGUUGCUGCCGAAGAGAGGUGGGGAUGGCGAACAGGCCUAAAGUGUCAUAGCCUGUUUUGAAGAGUUGCUCCUCUUUACUCUAGUCCAGCUUCUCUCAGGUUCAGAUCCUUGAUUCACCCUGGAUGGCCAGCACCAUGGGUUGCUACAAGGUGUUGAACAUUUACGAUCAUUGCCCAGUCAUCUAAGGCACCACAAGUCACUGUUCAGAGUUGCUUCCCUUGGGCACGCCAGGAACCUGAUAUUUGGUUUGAAUCCUGGUUCAGCCCGAAUAUGUUCUAGGUUUGUCAACGUCAUACCCAUGCUUUUGGUUUUCCCAAAGUGGUAAAUGUCUAAGACUUGCAUCACUUUGGGUUUUCCUCCCACAUUAAGCGGACACGCCAUGAUAGAACUGGGAUACUGUUGAAAGCAGAGUUAAACCUAACUCACUCACUCACUCACUUUGAAUUUCCUCCAACAUUGAUCACUGAAAUAUUGUAGUGUUGCACUCACUGAGUCACACAUUCACUUCUCUUGAGGCUCACCUUACAAACAUUGUACAAUAUCAUGCUAACCAAACUACUGAGAUUAAUUAGUUCCACUGGACACUUUGCCUUGCUGGCACUGAGAGCUAGUAUCCUGUGAGAUAAAACAGUUGGAGCAGGUGGUGCCCCAGUGCAGACUUGCGUUGCUUCUGUCCCUGUUCCCAUGUGACCUGUGUCAGCCUGUACAGCCUGCCAUUGUAAAUUGUGCCAACAUCGUGUGUGCAGUGUGAAGUCGAGCAAGGAAUUUUCAGUUCAUAACAUAACCUUUUAUAUGAUGUAAUCAAACAGUUGCCUCUUGUCCAACAUGGCACAGUGUAUAUAUAAUGUGUAUGUCAGUGUCCCACAGCUGAACACCUCAAGCUACAGCUACAGUUGAACACCACAAGUUCAAGUUGAACACCUCAACUUGAACACUUAGUUACAGGUAAACACCUCAAGCUACACAUGAACACCUCAAGUUCAAGGCGAACACCUCAAAUAGCUUGUGAACACUUAGUUAUAGGUAAACACCUCAAGCUACACAUGAACACCUCAAGUUCAAGGCGAACACCUCAAAUAGCUUGUGAACACUUAGUUAUAGGUAAACACCUCAAGCUACACAUGAACACCUCAAGUUCAAGGCAAACACCUCAUAAAGUUUGUGAACACUUAGUUACAGGUAAACACCUCAAGCUAGAGGAAAACACCAAAGUUAGAGUUCAACACCUCAAACUACCGUUGGACACUUUUAGCUACAGAUGGACACCUCAAGCUACACAUGAACACCUCAAGUUCAAGGCGAACGCCUCAAAUAGCUUGUGAACACUUAGUUUCUGGUAAACACCUUAAGCUGCACAUGAACACCAAAGUUAGAGUUUAACACCUCAAGCUACCUGUGGACACUUUUAGCUACAGGUGGACACCUCAAGCUAUAAGUGAACACAGCUACAUGACAAACAUCUCAAAAACAUUUGUCAAACCAUGCUGGUAUGUCCUGGCCAAGGGUAUGUGAUGUUAAAUAUGUAUCGGUUCCUUUCACCUGUAAAACUGACCACCGUAUUAGACCAAGUUGUGUCAAACUAACAGGACUUUCCUCCUGAACAGACAAUGCUUUUUGUGCCACUUUUGUGAACUCCCUAUAUAAUCUGUCCAGCAUAUCAACAGCAGUCAACACAGGAUGUAGGUCUGAUGCAGUGAGAUCCCGCCAGGUCGGCCCUGUUGGUCACACAAAUAUCAACUGUAAGGACUGGGCACUGUUCCUCAAAACGAUCUUAGCGCUAAGAUGAUCGUAACUCCCGGACAUUAACAUAAACUUACAAUCGUAGCGCUAAGAUCACUUUGUGGAACAGGACCCUGAUCCUUGAGCAGUGUCUGUAUACUGAACUUUUGAUAGAGGUGAAGUUUGUGAAUCCAGAGUUGAUUGAUUCAGGCUGUUUGAUUUUCCUUUCUGUGUGGACAAAUACAUGGCGACCCAUCUGACAGUGUUUUCUUACCUACUCUAUGGUGAUGACAGACUGUAUAUAGUUGUGUUAUGAAGUGAAGGAGAUUAAGGGAAACUCUACCUCACAGCAUGCUCUCAAGCAGGAAUACUUCCUUAAAGCAGUCCUGGGAUUAUUGCAAUUCACCACAUGCAAGAGAGACUUGCAACACUUCCACUGGACUGCCGUUUGGAUGAGAUCACCUGUGUCCUUCCGGCUUCCUCCCACAGUAAGCUGAUGUGACUAAAAUACUUUUCAAGGCAACUUGAUUGUGUAUUUCAUAUUUAUCUGUCUCAUGGUACAUACAGUGCUAGGGUGUUUCAGCCAGGUUGAUUUCUUACACUAAGUAAUUGAAACACUGAUUGUCUCUUCAAGCAAGGGAGAUCACUGCGACAAAUCCAUAAGCUUCAUGCAGGUCAGAUCCGAUUACUACAGUAAGUUCCGAAGCCCACGAUAGCAGUUAUCUCUCUUAGCUGUGCCAGGAUUUGCUGGUCAUGGUUUUCCUAGAUUCUGAUCCUUGAUUUGCCAGCAUUUUCCCUAUGUCUGUUUCAUCAACAUAAAUGUUCAUUAUGUGUGUCACUUGAGGCUUGGGCACUCUUCCCACAUCAAGAUGGCAUACUGUGAUAUAAUGCAAAUCGGGGGCACGGGUGGCCCAGUCGUCUAAGGCGCCCCGAUUCGCUGUGCAGAGUUGCGUCCCUUGGGCAUGCCAGAAACCUAUGAUUGUGGGUUCGAAUCCUGAUUCGCCCCGAUUAUGUUUCUAGGUUUGUCAGCACCAUACCUGUGCUCGUGGGUUUCACCGAAGCUUUCCUCCCACAUUAAGCUGACGCGCCGCGAUAUAACUGGAAUACUGUUGAAAGCGGCAUUAAACCCAACUCACUCACUCACUAUAAUGCAAAUCCCAUACAAAGCGGUGUCCAACCCUACUCACAUAAUGGGGAACGCUAAACACAAACCGAACUUCACAUAUGUACAUUGCCAAUGAACAAAUCUGUCAUUCAUCACUGGCCCCUGAAAGUUCAAGUUUCCUCAGAUUUCUAUACAUGUGUAAUAUCGACCAAUAUUACACUGCCAUGUGCCGCACACAGCAUCACACUCGUCCAACACUGAUGGAUGGCUCAUAGUCAUAUUUCUGUUUCCCGGUCUCCUUCACAUGCUUUCAUGGCAAUCAUUUCAGAAUUGAGCUUUAACACCAACCUUCACACAUUUAGCUCAAUAUUGCUUGUCUAGAUAUAUUUGUUUGUCAUUGCACAUAGCAUUAAUAUUCAGAUCAUGUUUAAAAAUCUUUUUUGAAUUGUUUUCUUCAGUAGGAUAUUGGAUUUUCACAAAAUUAUCUUUUUCCAAUUUAGUGAACGUUCUGAAGCAACUUACAGCUGUCUUACAGCUUUCUACAUGGAAGGAAGUCCUUCAAUACAGUUGUGUCAGACAUGCAUGUCUAUAUUGAGGUCAUUGUUAGUUUGUAUAUAAAUCAACUUGAAACUAAGACAAGAACUGACCAGCAUUGUAAUGUUUCUCUAUAUUUGCCACAUAAAUUUGUUUUCUUUAGCAAAAAGAAAAUUACAAUAAUCUUAUUUUCAUUCCAACAAAGGAAUGGCUCUCAUUUAACUCAGUGCAAGUUUUUCUGCACUGAAUACAGUUUCUAUCUAGUGAGGAUUGCUUCAGUUUGCUUUACAUUUGGUGAUGCCAAUUUGUUAAGGCCAUGUUCCCAGAUGGGGAGUUAAAAAAAAAAGGGCCCCUUUAAAUGUAUCAAGUGGAAGAAAUCAACAGUUGUCGCUCGAUUUGUGAAGGCUAGAACAUGAUGUCACUUCUACAUCAUUUAGUUGUUGCGUUAAAAAUAUGUUGUUAUCAAAUUUAAAUUUAUGUUGAUAUUCUACUGAAUUACAGAAAUAAAGAACUGUACCUAAUA
This 10945-nucleotide long non-coding RNA is filed under the name Haliotis rufescens (red abalone). Its description in RNAcentral is "uncharacterized LOC124147071". Lineage: Eukaryota; Metazoa; Mollusca; Gastropoda; Lepetellida; Haliotidae. The record is from RNAcentral.